Oncorhynchus keta (chum salmon) is the source of this 1335-nucleotide long non-coding RNA. RefSeq lists it as uncharacterized. The transcript is spliced from 3 exons. The record is from RefSeq and is a predicted model, not a curated record. Lineage: Eukaryota; Metazoa; Chordata; Actinopteri; Salmoniformes; Salmonidae.
CUCUGCCUCUCUCUCUCUCUCUCUCUGCCUUUCUCUCUCUCUGCCUCUCUCAAUGAAGUUACAGAGAAAUGAACAGCCCGCUCUUUGCUGGGUCCUAAAGCUAGUACCCUCAUAGAGCAGUAUGGCAAUAACCCUUCCUACCUACCUCUAACUGCAAAAAGGUCUGCAAUAACCCUUCCUACCUACCUCUAACUGCAAAAAGGUCUGCAAUAACCCUUCCUACCUACCUCUAACUGCAAAAAGGUCUGCAAUAACCCUUCCUACCUACCUCUAACUGCAAAAAGGUCUGCAAUAACCCUUCCUACCUACCUCUAACUGCAAAAAGGUCUGCAAUAACCCUUCCUACCUACCUCUAACUGCAAAAAGGUCUGCAAUAACCCUUCCUACCUACCUCUAACUGCAAAAAGGUCUGCAAUAACCCUUCCUACCUAUCUCUAACUGCAAAAAGGUCUGCAAUAACCCUUCCUACCUACCUCUAACUGCAAAAAGGUCUGCAAUAACCCUUCCUACCUACCUCUAACUGCAAAAAGGUCUGCAAUAACCCUUCCUACCUACCUCUAACUGCAAAAAGGUCUGCAAUAACCCUUCCUACCUACCUCUAACUGCAAAAAGGUCUGAGUCUUGGUGGCACAGAUGGUUGCGGUGCAGAAGUACAACAUACAUAUACACACACAUAUUCAUUCAUUGAUUGAUCGAUUGACAGUCACAUACACAUGAAAACAUCAUUUUAUUGGAAUAAAUGAUACAUGAUGUAACUGUAAAUAGCUAUGAAAAGGAGAUAGUUACAGAAUGCAUCCCUGUAUUGAGCACGUUUUCAGCCCAGGAGUAGGAUCAAUACGUGUUUAUCUGCAACCUACGUGUUGUGACUGGAUACGUCUUCAUAACUGCAAACAACUGUAGUCUAGAACUGUAUGUUAACCAAGCUGCACACUUCUCAUUUCAUGUCCGCAAAUACAAACUGUAUUUAAUGUUUGUUUAUGCAAUGUUCCAAGAUGAAUACGUAUUCAUAAUUCAACUAUUAUCCCCGUGUGUAAGCAAUAGUGUUCCCUCUAUCACAACGCUACAGCAGGUACGUCUAGCAUGUGUUUGUUUUCCUGACAGUGAAUACAUCCAGUCUGUAGCCUAUCGUUGUGUGAAUAAUUAGCAUAUCUGGUGGAGCAAAAAUCCUUCUUUUGUACUGUACAUUCACAAUGUGAAGCAAUGUUUUCAUUCUCCGAAAAAUCAUUUCACGAUGUCAUUGGAACACAGGUAUGAUGUCAUUAAAAUAUAGGUAUGAUGUCAUUAAAAUAUAGGUAUGAUGUCAUUAAAAUAUAGGUAUGAUGUCAUUAAAAGAUG